AUUGAACGCUGGCGGCAUGCCUUACACAUGCAAGUCGAACGGCAGCACGGGAGCAAUCCUGGUGGCGAGUGGCGAACGGGUGAGUAAUAUAUCGGAACGUGCCCAGUCGUGGGGAUAACGUAGCGAAAGCUACGCUAAUACCGCAUACGAUCUAUGGAUGAAAGCGGGGGGAUCGCAAGACCUCGCGCGAUUGGAGCGGCCGAUAUCAGAUUAGGUAGUUGGUGAGGUAAAGGCUCACCAAGCCGACGAUCUGUAGCUGGUCUGAGAGGACGACCAGCCACACUGGGACUGAGACACGGCCCAGACUCCUACGGGAGGCAGCAGUGGGAAUUUUGGACAAUGGGCGCAAGCCUGAUCCAGCAAUGCCGCGUGCAGGAUGAAGGCCUU
Molecule: ribosomal RNA, 387 nt
Filed under: uncultured bacterium
Lineage: Bacteria
Description: bacterial SSU rRNA
Rfam family: Bacterial small subunit ribosomal RNA
Source: RNAcentral